ACGCUGUCUUCAGAGUUUGAUCCUGGCUCAGGAUGAACGCUAGCUAUAGGCUUAACACAUGCAAGUCGAGGGGCAGCAUGCGGUUUGCUUGCAAACCGUGAUGGCGACCGGCGCACGGGUGAGUAACGCGUAUCCAACCUUCCCCUUACUGUGGAAUAACCUGCCGAAAGGCAGACUAAUACCGCACGCACUCAACAGAUGGCAUCAGGCGUUGAGUAAAGAUUUAUCGGUAAGGGAUGGGGAUGCGUCUGAUUAGCUUGUUGGCGGGGUAACGGCCCACCAAGGCGACGAUCAGUAGGGGUUCUGAGAGGAAGGUCCCCCACAUUGGAACUGAGACACGGUCCAA
Molecule: ribosomal RNA, 346 nt
Filed under: uncultured bacterium
Lineage: Bacteria
Description: bacterial SSU rRNA
Rfam family: Bacterial small subunit ribosomal RNA
Source: RNAcentral